Molecule: transfer RNA, 98 nt
Filed under: Microtetraspora sp. NBRC 16547
Lineage: Bacteria; Bacillati; Actinomycetota; Actinomycetes; Streptosporangiales; Streptosporangiaceae
Description: tRNA-Arg
Source: RNAcentral
CGCCGCCACGGCCAGCACGGUGACGGGAAUCACGAUCGCGGCCCGUGCCAGCCGUGCGGCUCGCGCGGCGGGGUGGUUCCAGGUCCACCAGGCGGCGU